This 293-nucleotide ribosomal RNA is filed under the name uncultured eukaryote. RNAcentral describes it as "partial 18S ribosomal RNA". It matches the Rfam family "Eukaryotic small subunit ribosomal RNA", at positions 6 to 306 of the family's 1831-position model. The record is from RNAcentral.
GGUUGAUCCUGCCAGUAGUCAUAUGCUUGUCUCAAAGAUUAAGCCAUGCAUGUCUAAGUAUAAGCAUUAUACGGUGCAACUGCGAAUGGCUCAUUAAAUCAGUUAUCGUUUAUUUGAUAGUUCCGUUCUACAUGGAUAACCGUGGAAAAUCUAGAGCUAAUACAUGCGUAAAUCCCCGACUUAGGAAGGGGUGUAUUUAUUAGAUAAAAAAUCAAUGCCCUCGGGCCAUUUGAUGAUUCAUAAUAACUUUUCGAAGCUCAUGGCCUUGCGCUGGAGCUGGUUCAUUCAAAUUU